This 678-nucleotide ribosomal RNA is filed under the name Mussaenda erosa. Its description in RNAcentral is "eukaryotic LSU rRNA". The stretch from base 274 to 429 matches the Rfam family "5.8S ribosomal RNA". Lineage: Eukaryota; Viridiplantae; Streptophyta; Magnoliopsida; Gentianales; Rubiaceae. The record is from RNAcentral.
AUUUAGAGGAAGGAGAAGUCGUAACAAGGUUUCCGUAGGUGAACCUGCGGAAGGAUCAUUGUCGAAUCCUGCAAAGCAGACGACCGCGAACUUGUGUAAUUGCCGGGCGUCGGGGAACGGGGGAGACUAAAGCCUCCCCUAACUCCCCGGCGCUCCCCGCGCACCGCGCGGACAACAACUCAACCCCGGCGCGGAAAGCGCCAAGGAAAACUCAAAAGGAUUGCCCGCCUCCCCGUGCGCGGGGUGUGUUGUGGCGUCUGUCGUAACCAAAACGACUCUCGGCAACGGAUAUCUCGGCUCUCGCAUCGAUGAAGAACGUAGCGAAAUGCGAUACUUGGUGUGAAUUGCAGAAUCCCGUGAACCAUCGAGUCUUUGAACGCAAGUUGCGCCCGAAGCCAUUAGGCCGAGGGCACGCCUGCCUGGGCGUCACGCAUCGCGUCGCCACCCCCCUUUUGCGGGGCGGCGGAUACUGGCCUCCCGUCCCAAGAAGGCGCGGCUGGCCUAAAUUCGAGUCCUCGACGGGGGACGUCACGACAAGUGGUGGUUGAAUGCCUCAACUCGAUUCCUGUCGUGUUCAUUGGCCUCGUCGUUUCUCGGGCUCCUUGACCCUUCUUGCUUGCAUCUCGAUGCGAGCCUCGACCGCGACCCCAGGUCAGGCGGGAUUACCCGCUGAGUUUA